UCCGGCUCUUAUCGAAGGCGUCGCUGGUUCUUUUGUAGCGAGUGACGAUCAAAAAGAAGCCGAAAUCAACACUUUUACCGACGGUCGCUGUGCAGCUGCUUCAUAGUCGCUUCAGCAACAUUAAGGAAAAGGACACUG
Small nucleolar RNA from Silurus meridionalis, 138 nucleotides. Lineage: Eukaryota; Metazoa; Chordata; Actinopteri; Siluriformes; Siluridae. The record is from RefSeq and is a predicted model, not a curated record.